GACGAACGCUGGCGGCGUGCUUAAAACAUGCAAGUCGAACGGACUUCUCAUGAAGCUUGCGAUUGAGAAGUUAGUGGCGGACGGGUGAGUAACGCGUGGGCAACCUGCCCCUGGGCCCGGGAUAACAGUUCGAAAGGACUGCUAAGACCGGAUAUACUUGCGGGGAAGCAUUUCACUGCAAGGAAAGGGAACGCUCAGGGAUGGGCCCGCGUCCCAUUAGCUAGUUGGUGAGGUAACGGCCCACCAAGGCGACGAUGGGUAGCCGGCCUGAGAGGGUGAACGGCCACACUGGGACUGAGACACGGCCCAGACUCCUACGGGAGGCAGCAGUUGGGAAUCUUCGGCAAUGGGCGCAAGCCUGACCGAGCAACGCCGCGUGAGUGAUGAAGGUUUUCGGAUUGUAAAGCUCUGUCUUCCGGGACGAUAAUGACGGUACCGGAGGAGGAAGCCACGGCUAACUACGUG
This 465-nucleotide ribosomal RNA is filed under the name uncultured bacterium. Its description in RNAcentral is "bacterial SSU rRNA". It matches the Rfam family "Bacterial small subunit ribosomal RNA", at positions 28 to 507 of the family's 1533-position model. The record is from RNAcentral.